CCAAUAGCGUAUAUUAAAGUUGUUGCAGUUAAAAAGCUCGUAGUUGAAUUUCGGGGUUAGUAAGUUGGUUGUGCCACUGGUAUGUACUGACUUUACUGAUUCCUCCUUCUUGUAGAACCGUAAUGCCAUUAAGUUGGUGUUGCGGGGAACCAGGACUGUUACUUUGAAAAAAUUAGAGUGUUUACAGCAAGCUAACGCUUGAAUACAUUAGCAUGGAAUAAUGAAAUAGGACGUUCGAUCCUAUUUUGUUGGUUUCUAGGAUUGACGUAAUGAUUAAUAGGGAUAGUUGGGGGCAUUAGUAUUCAAUUGUCAGAGGUGAAAUUCUUGGAUUUAUUGAAGACUAACUACUGCGAAAGCAUUUGCCAAGGAUGUUUUCAUUAAUCAAGAACGAAAGUUAGGGGAUCGAAGACGAUCAGAUACCGUCGUAGUCUUAACCAUAAACUAUGCCGACUAGGGAUCGGAUGAUGUUAAUUUUAUAAUGACUCAUUCGGCGCCUUACG
This 500-nucleotide unclassified non-coding RNA is filed under the name uncultured Glomus. RNAcentral's name for it is "SSU rRNA". It matches the Rfam family "Eukaryotic small subunit ribosomal RNA", at positions 591 to 1092 of the family's 1831-position model. Lineage: Eukaryota; Fungi; Glomeromycota; Glomeromycetes; Glomerales; Glomeraceae. The record is from RNAcentral.